ACCAUCCUAAGGUAGCGAAAUUCCUUGUCGGGUAAGUUCCGACCUGCACGAAUGGAGUAACGACUUCCCUACUGUCUCAACCAUGAACUCGGCGAAAUUGCAGUACGAGUAAAGAUGCUCGUUUCGCGCAGCAGGACGGAAAGACCCCGUGACCUUUACUAUAGUUUGGUAUUGGUGUUUGGUUUGGCUUGUGUAGGAUAGGUGGGAGACUGUGAAGCAUGGACGCUAGUUUGUGUGGAGUCGUUGUUGAAAUACCACUCUGGUCAAUCUGGAUGUCUAACUUCGGGCCAUGAUCUGGUUCAGGGACAGUGCCUGAUGGGUAGUUUAACUGGGGCGGUUGCCUCCUAAAGUGUAACGGAGGCGCCCAAAGGUUCCCUCAGCCUGGUUGGCAAUCAGGUGUUGAGUGUAAGUGCACAAGGGAGCUUGACUGUGAGACUGGCAGGUCGAGCAGGGACGAAAGUCGGGACUAGUGAUCCGGCGGUACGUUGUGGAACGGCCGUCGCUCAACGGAUAAAAGGUACCUCGGGGAUAACAGGCUGAUCUUGCCCAAGAGUCCAUAUCGACGGCAUGGUUUGGCACCUCGAUGUCGGCUCGUCGCAUCCUGGGGCUGGAGUCGGUCCCAAGGGUUGGGCUGUUCGCCCAUUAAAGCGGUACGCGAGCUGGGUUCAGAACGUCGUGAGACAGUUCGGUCCCUAUCCGCUGCGCGCGUUGGAAAUUUGAGAAAGGCUGUCCUUAGUACGAGAGGACCGGGACGGACGAACCUCUGGUAUGUCAGUUGUACCGCCAGGUGCAUGGCUGAUUGGCUACGUUCGGGAGGGAUAACCGCUGAAAGCAUCUAAGCGGGAAGCCUGUUUCGAGAUGAGAUUUCCUGGCACUUUUUGGUGUGUGAGGCUCCUUAUAGAUGAUGAGGUUGAUAGGCCGGGUAUGGAAGCGGGGACUGAAGACUCGUGGAGUUGACUGGUACUAAUAGGCUGAAGGCUUACUUU
Molecule: ribosomal RNA, 986 nt
Filed under: human oral metagenome
Description: bacterial LSU rRNA
Rfam family: Bacterial large subunit ribosomal RNA
Source: RNAcentral